AAUGAACGUUGGCGGCGUGGAUUAGGCAUGCAAGUCGAGCGCGAACCCAGCAAUGGGUGAAAGCGGCGGAAGGGACAGGAAUGCGUAGGUUACGUACCCUUGGGACUGGAAUAGCUGCGGGAAACUGCAGGUAAUGCCAGAUAAUAUCUUCGGAUCAAAGGUGUGAUUCCGCCCAUGGAGCGGCCUACGUCCUAUUAGUUUGUUGGUGGGGUAAUGGCCUACCAAGGCUUUGAUGGGUAGCGGGUGUGAGAGCAUGACCCGCGUCACUGGGACUGAGACACUGCCCAGACACCUACGGGUGGCUGCAGUCGAGAAUCUUCGGCAAUGGGCGAAAGCCUGACCGAGCGACGCCGCGUGCGGGAUGAAGGCCUUCGGGUUGUAAACCGCUGUCAAUGGGGAGGAAGGCUACGUGAAGAGCGUAGUUUGACCUAUCUUUGGAGGAAGGACGGGCUAAGUUCGUGCCAGCAGCCGCAGUAAAAC
Molecule: ribosomal RNA, 480 nt
Filed under: uncultured bacterium
Lineage: Bacteria
Description: bacterial SSU rRNA
Rfam family: Bacterial small subunit ribosomal RNA
Source: RNAcentral